CUGGAAAGGCGCGCGAUACAGGGUGACAGCCCCGUACACAAAAAUGCACAUGCUGUGAGCUCGAUGAGUAGGGCGGGACACGUGGUAUCCUGUCUGAAUAUGGGGGGACCAUCCUCCAAGGCUAAAUACUCCUGACUGACCGAUAGUGAACCAGUACCGUGAGGGAAAGGCGAAAAGAACCCCGGCGAGGGGAGUGAAAAAGAACCUGAAACCGUGUACGUACAAGCAGUGGGAGCACGCUUAGGCGUGUGACUGCGUACCUUUUGUAUAAUGGGUCAGCGACUUAUAUUCUGUAGCAAGGUUAACCGAAUAGGGGAGCCGAAGGGAAACCGAGUCUUAACUGGGCGUUAAGUUGCAGGGUAUAGACCCGAAACCCGGUGAUCUAGCCAUGGGCAGGUUGAAGGUUGGGUAACACUAACUGGAGGACCGAACCGACUAAUGUUGAAAAAUUAGCGGAUGACUUGUGGCUGGGGGUGAAAGGCCAAUCAAACCGGGAGAUAGCUGGUUCUCCCCGAAAGCUAUUUAGGUAGCGCCUCGUGAAUUCAUCUCCGGGGGUAGAGCACUGUUUCGGCAAGGGGGUCAUCCCGACUUACCAACCCGAUGCAAACUGCGAAUACCGGAGAAUGUUAUCACGGGAGACACACGGCGGGUGCUAACGUCCGUCGUGAAGAGGGAAACAACCCAGACCGCCAGCUAAGGUCCCAAAGUCAUGGUUAAGUGGGAAACGAUGUGGGAAGGCCCAGACAGCCAGGAUGUUGGCUUAGAAGCAGCCAUCAUUUAAAGAAAGCGUAAUAGCUCACUGGUCGAGUCGGCCUGCGCGGAAGAUGUAACGGGGCUAAACCAUGCACCGAAGCUGCGGCAGCGACGCUUAUGCGUUGUUGGGUAGGGGAGCGUUCUGUAAGCCUGUGAAGGUGUGCUGUGAGGCAUGCUGGAGGUAUCAGAAGUGCGAAUGCUGACAUAAGUAACGAUAAAGCGGGUGAAAAGCCCGCUCGCCGGAAGACCAAGGGUUCCUGUCCAACGUUAAUCGGGGCAGGGUGAGUCGACCCCUAAGGCGAGGCCGAAAGGCGUAGUCGAUGGGAAACAGGUUAAUAUUCCUGUACUUGGUGUUACUGCGAAGGGGGGACGGAGAAGGCUAUGUUGGCCGGGCGACGGUUGUCCCGGUUUAAGCGUGUAGGCUGGUUUUCCAGGCAAAUCCGGAAAAUCAAGGCUGAGGCGUGAUGACGAGGCACUACGGUGCUGAAGCAACAAAUGCCCUGCUUCCAGGAAAAGCCUCUAAGCAUCAGGUAACAUCAAAUCGUACCCCAAACCGACACAGGUGGUCAGGUAGAGAAUACCAAGGCGCUUGAGAGAACUCGGGUGAAGGAACUAGGCAAAAUGGUGCCGUAACUUCGGGAGAAGGCACGCUGAUAUGUAGGUGAAGUCCCUCGCGGAUGGAGCUGAAAUCAGUCGAAGAUACCAGCUGGCUGCAACUGUUUAUUAAAAACACAGCACUGUGCAAACACGAAAGUGGACGUAUACGGUGUGACGCCUGCCCGGUGC
Molecule: ribosomal RNA, 1539 nt
Filed under: Escherichia coli
Lineage: Bacteria; Pseudomonadati; Pseudomonadota; Gammaproteobacteria; Enterobacterales; Enterobacteriaceae
Description: partial 23S ribosomal RNA
Rfam family: Bacterial large subunit ribosomal RNA
Source: RNAcentral